RNAcentral lists this ribosomal RNA (1003 nucleotides) under Protoperidinium punctulatum. Its description in RNAcentral is "partial 28S rRNA". It matches the Rfam family "Eukaryotic large subunit ribosomal RNA", at positions 88 to 1299 of the family's 3401-position model. The record is from RNAcentral. Lineage: Eukaryota; Dinophyceae; Peridiniales; Protoperidiniaceae.
GGCGAAUGCACAGGGGCAAACUCAGUAUGAAAAUUGGGAUGUUUGGUCCUGAGUUGUAGUCUUGCAAUGCGCUACCAGAGGAGAUGCAGCUACAGGCUCUUGGAAAGGAGAGUCCGUGAGGGUGAAAACCCUGUGUGCUGGCUGCAGCACUCCGGCAAUCGGUGUGCUGUUUUCGAGUCGUGUACCUUGGCACUGGUGCAUGAAGCGGUGGUAAUUUUUAUCCAAAGAUGAAGAAGUGUUUGAGACCAAUAGAAAACAAGUACCUUAAGGGAAAGGUGAAACAGAACUUUGUAAAGAGAGAUAACUAUGCUUGAACCUGCUGAAUUUGACGUGAAUGGUGACAGUGUCAUGUGGUAGGAUUUCUGUGCGUUNNNNNNNNNNNNNNNNNNNNNNNNNNNNNNNNNNNNNNNUGCAAGUAUACGGGUGGCAAGCCUGUGUGCUCAGUGAAAGUACUGGCUGGGAUUGUUGCACCAGCAACCAAUCAUUUGCCAAAGAAAUGCCCGAGUAUGAGCAUGCCUAUUAGGACCCGAAAGAUGGUGAACUAUGUCUGUGAAUGGCAAACCCAGGGGAAACUCUGAUGGAGGCCUGUAGCGAUACUAACGUGCAAAUUGUUCGUCAUACAUGGGCAUAGGGGUGAAAGACUAAUCGAACCAUCUAGUAGCUGGUUCCCUCUGAAGUUUCCCUCAGGAUAGCUGGGCAUGAAUAGUUUUACUAAGUAAAGCAAAUGAUUCGAGGCAUUGGGGGCCUGUCGUCCUUGACCUAUUCUCAAACUCUAAAGAGGUAAGCCCCAGCAGUUACUUGUUUGAGCAACUGGGGCAAGUGACAGUCCCAAGUGGGCCAUUCUUGGUAAGCAGAACUGGCGAUGAGAGAUGAACCUAAUGUUAGACUAAGGUGCCCCAGUGCUCGCUCAUCAGAUACCAUAAAGGGUGUUGGUUCAUCUUGACAGCAGGACGGUGGUCAUGGAAGUUGAAAUCCGCUAAGGAGUGUGUAACAACUCCUGCCC